GAGGGGGAAAAGAGGAGUAAAAAGAAAAAGAAAAAGGAAAAAAGCACCAGUACCGCUGUCAACAGGAAAUGGAAUCACUUGGACGUUUGACCUCAAAAGCGGUGCCUCACUUGACUUCGCUCAUUUAUUGUACAUUUUCUUCUUUUUUCUUGUCGUCUCCUCUCUCCCUUCCUC
RNAcentral lists this microRNA precursor (174 nucleotides) under Trypanosoma congolense IL3000. The record is from RNAcentral. Lineage: Eukaryota; Euglenozoa; Kinetoplastea; Trypanosomatida; Trypanosomatidae.